RNAcentral lists this long non-coding RNA (785 nucleotides) under Mus caroli (Ryukyu mouse). RNAcentral's name for it is "lncRNA (MGP_CAROLIEiJ_G0002766.1)". The record is from RNAcentral. Lineage: Eukaryota; Metazoa; Chordata; Mammalia; Rodentia; Muridae.
AGCAAACAGCGGAUGUGUAGUUCCUCUCCUCGCCGAACCCGGUUUUCCAUUUCUGCAGAGCAGCGCGACCGAUUCCCGGUUUCCCCGCCGCAACCACCGUUACCCCCCCAUCCCGGGCGACUCCAGCGACGUCACCGGUUCAGGUCCUGACCUUUCGGCGAACCGCGGAACCGCAGACGACCUGUUCGACGUCAUCACUCCCCGCCCGGAUGUCGCUGACAUCACCCAGCACGUGCCUGCGCUGGCACCGCGUCGUCCUGGCAAGCGCCUCCCCGCCGCGGAAGGAGAUCCUGGGGUUCGCCGUGCCCGGGCGAGACGUGUCGGCGGGGUUUCACGUGAGUGACACUUGGUCCCCACGGGACUGACAGUGACUAGCGUUGUGGCAUGGUGACCUCAGUGACUCUGUCCCUGACUCUGCCCCUUGUGAUGACCCCACCACUGACCCGCAGGCCUUGGAGGGGCUGAUCCUGGAGAAGCCAAAGGACCAGGAGGACACCAUGGGGGUGCUGCUCAGGCUGAGUGGGAAACAGAGCAGUACAGCUUCAUCAUGAGGGUAGCCAUUGUCAUCUGGGGCAUCCACGGGGGAGGAGCUGAUCCAUGACUACUUGGACACCAGCUAAGGAUGGUGAGGCCCCGUCCCCUGCCCCACGUGACAUUGCCCACGCCCCGUCUGAGAGUCUACCAAGUGGUUCUGGGAUGAUGGAUUGAGGGGAUGGGGGCUGCAUACAUUUGCAUGAGUUUGUAUAUUUUGGGCUCAUUUGAAUAAAUUUGUAUAAAUUAACACC